ACUCCGUAGGUGAACCUGCGGAGGGAUCAUUACAGAGUUCAUGCCCUACCGGGUAGAUCUCCCACCCUAUGUUAUUAUUACUUUGUUGCUUUGGCGGGCCGUUAGGCUCCGGCCCGACUACCGGCCCCGGCUGGUAAGCGCCCGCCAGAGGACCCAAAACCCUGAAUAUUAGUGUCGUCUGAGUACUAUAUAAUAGUUAAAACUUUCAACAACGGAUCUCUUGGUUCUG
RNAcentral lists this unclassified non-coding RNA (229 nucleotides) under plant metagenome. Its description in RNAcentral is "partial contains small subunit ribosomal RNA, internal transcribed spacer 1, and 5.8S ribosomal RNA". The record is from RNAcentral.